This 253-nucleotide ribosomal RNA is filed under the name uncultured bacterium. Its description in RNAcentral is "partial 16S ribosomal RNA". It matches the Rfam family "Bacterial small subunit ribosomal RNA", at positions 524 to 776 of the family's 1533-position model. The record is from RNAcentral.
UACGAAGGGGGCUAGCGUUGUUCGGAAUCACUGGGCGUAAAGCGCACGUAGGCGGACUCUUAAGUCAGGGGUGAAAUCCUGGAGCUCAACUCCAGAACUGCCUUUGAUACUGGGAGCCUCGAGUUCGGGAGAGGUGAGUGGAACUGCGAGUGUAGAGGUGAAAUUCGUAGAUAUUCGCAAGAACACCAGUGGCGAAGGCGGCUCACUGGCCCGAUACUGACGCUGAGGUGCGAAAGCGUGGGGAGCAAACAGG